Molecule: small nuclear RNA, 107 nt
Organism: Microcebus murinus (gray mouse lemur)
Lineage: Eukaryota; Metazoa; Chordata; Mammalia; Primates; Cheirogaleidae
Source: Ensembl
GUGCUUGCUUUGGCAGCACAUAUACUAAAAUUGGAAAGAUACAGAGAAGAUUAGCAUGGUCCCGGUGCUAGGAUGACAUGCAAAUUCAUGAAGCAUCCCAUAAAAAA